Molecule: ribosomal RNA, 634 nt
Filed under: uncultured bacterium
Lineage: Bacteria
Description: bacterial SSU rRNA
Rfam family: Bacterial small subunit ribosomal RNA
Source: RNAcentral
GAACGGGCUCUUCGGAGCUAGUGGCGGACGGGUGAGGAACGCGUGAGAACCUGCCUCAAGGUCGGGGACAACAGUUGGAAACGACUGCUAAUACCGGAUGAGCCGAAUAGGUAAAAGAUUUAUCGCCUAGAGAGGGGCUCGCGUCUGAUUAGCUAGAUGGUGAGGUAAAGGCUUACCAUGGCGACGAUCAGUAGCUGGUCUGAGAGGAUGAGCAGCCACACUGGGACUGAGACACGGCCCAGACUCCUACGGGAGGCAGCAGUGGGGAAUUUUCCGCAAUGGGCGAAAGCCUGACGGAGCAAUACCGCGUGAGGGAGGAAGGCUCUUGGGUUGUAAACCUCAAAACUUAGGGAAGAAAAAAAUGACGGUACCUAAUGUAAGCAUCGGCUAACUCCGUGCCAGCAGCCGCGGUAAUACGGAGGAUGCAAGCGUUAUCCGGAAUCAUUGGGCGUAAAGGGUCCGUAGGUGGCACUUCAAGUCUGCUUUCAAAGACCGAAGCUCAACUUCGGAAAGGGAGUGGAAACUGAAGAGCUAGAGUAUAGUAGGGGUAGAGGGAAUUCCUAGUGUAGCGGUGAAAUGCGUAGAGAUUAGGAAGAACACCAGUGGCGAAGGCGCUCUACUGGGCAUAUACUGA